GACGAACGCUGGCGGCGUGCUUAACACAUGCAAGUCGAACGGUGAAGCGCUUUCCUUUUUGGUUGGUGUGGAUGAGUGGCGAACGGGUGAGUAACACGUGAGUAACCUGCCCCCUUCUUCUGGAUAACCGCAUGAAAGUGUGGCUAAUACGGGAUAUUCUGCGCCUGCUGCAUGGUGGGUAUGGGAAAGAUUGUGCCUUUGGGUGUUUUCGGUGGGGGAUGGGCUCGCGGCCUAUCAGCUUGUUGGUGGGGUGAUGGCCUACCAAGGGGGUGACGGGUAGCCGGCCUGAGAGGGUGGACGGUCACACUGGGACUGAGACACGGCCCAGACUCCUACGGGAGGCAGCAGUGGGGAAUAUUGCACAAUGGGCGCAAGCCUGAUGCAGCGACGCCGCGUGAGGGAUGGAGGCCUUCGGGUUGUGAACCUCUUUCGCCAGUGAAGCAGGCCUGCUCCGUGUGGGUGGGUUGACGGUAGCUGGAUAAGAAGCGCCGGCUAACUACGUG
This 503-nucleotide ribosomal RNA is filed under the name uncultured bacterium. RNAcentral describes it as "partial 16S ribosomal RNA". It matches the Rfam family "Bacterial small subunit ribosomal RNA", at positions 28 to 507 of the family's 1533-position model. The record is from RNAcentral.